AAAUAAGAAGUAAAAAAAAAUACAUUUAGUUUCGACCUAAAAAUUUGGAAUAAUUCCCUUAUUUA
This 65-nucleotide transfer RNA is filed under the name Crepidodera sp. BMNH 846615. RNAcentral's name for it is "tRNA-Arg". Lineage: Eukaryota; Metazoa; Arthropoda; Insecta; Coleoptera; Chrysomelidae. The record is from RNAcentral.